Molecule: ribosomal RNA, 485 nt
Filed under: uncultured bacterium
Lineage: Bacteria
Description: partial 16S ribosomal RNA
Rfam family: Bacterial small subunit ribosomal RNA
Source: RNAcentral
AGUGAACGCUGGCGGCGUGCUUAACACAUGCAAGUCGAACGAGAACGGACUAUAGCUUGCUAUAUUUGUCAGCUAAGUGGCGCACGGGUGAGUAAUGAAUAGCUAACCUGCCCUUAAGACAGGAAUAACAGUUGGAAACGCCUGCUCAUGCACUAUAUGCCUUGAAUACAUAAGUAUACAAGGGAAACGCUUUAGUGCUUAAGGUUGGGUCUGUAUGGUAUCAGCUUGUUGGUGAGGUAAUGGCUCACCAAGGCUAUGACGCCUAACUGGUUUGAGAGGAUGAUCAGUCACACUGGAACUGAGACACGGUCCAGACUCCUACGGGAGGCAGCAGUGGGGAAUAUUGCACAAUGGACGAAAGUCUGAUGCAGCAACGCCGCGUGGAGGAUGACACAUUUCGGUGCGUAAACUCCUUUUAUAUAGGAAGAUAAUGACGGUACUAUAUGAAUAAGCACCGGCUAACUCCGUGCCAGCCGCCGCAGUAA